GUGGGGAAUAUUGGACAAUGGGCGAAAGCCUGAUCCAGCCAUGCCGCGUGUGUGAAGAAGGUCUUCGGAUUGUAAAGCACUUUAAGUUGGGAGGAAGGGCAGUAAGUUAAUACCUUGCUGUUUUGACGUUACCAACAGAAUAAGCACCGGCUAACUUCGUGCCAGCAGCCGCGGUAAUACGAAGGGUGCAAGCGUUAAUCGGAAUUACUGGGCGUAAAGCGCGCGUAGGUGGUUUUGUAAGUUGGAGGUGAAAUCCCCGGGCUCAACCUGGGAACUGCCUCCAAAACUGCAUGACUAGAGUACGGUAGAGGGUAGUGGAAUUUCCUGUGUAGCGGUGAAAUGCGUAGAUAUAGGAAGGAACACCAGUGGCGAAGGCGACCACCUGGACUGAUACUGACACUGAGGUGCGAAAGCGUGGGGAGCAAACAGGAUUAGAAACCCUAGUAGUCC
This 450-nucleotide ribosomal RNA is filed under the name uncultured bacterium. RNAcentral's name for it is "partial 16S ribosomal RNA". It matches the Rfam family "Bacterial small subunit ribosomal RNA", at positions 354 to 796 of the family's 1533-position model. The record is from RNAcentral.